This is a non-coding RNA of Paramuricea clavata, 572 nucleotides long. The record is from the annotation of a GenBank genome assembly. NCBI's taxonomy places the organism in Eukaryota, Metazoa, Cnidaria, Anthozoa, Malacalcyonacea, Plexauridae.
ACACCAUUACUUCAAUAUCCCUUUCUUGUUUUUCCUUGGAUAGGUUUUAACAAGAUAGAACUCUAGAUCACUUGGGUCCAAAGACGCUAGAUUAUAAAAUCCUGAUGUGACUUGAUGCUACAAAUAGAAUAUGUCUUAUGAUUUAAUACUACAAAUAGAAUGUAUUUUAAUUACAAACUUCAAUGAAUUGAUAAAGUGUAAGGAUAGUGUUUAAAGUCGCUUCAUGUGUAGAAGCUGAAUUUAGUUUAUACACUGUAUUGUCGAGAUCACAUGUUGAUAUGACUUAGUAGCAACUUGCAUAAGUGGUCUGUACUCUGUUCUGCUUGGACAUUAGAACAUUGUAAUUGCCUGACAGAGACUGUUAGGGCCUGUUUGUAUGGAAGCCGGGCUGGCCUGCUUAGCAAGACAGCCCGGUAAGGUAGGUAAGCAGGAUGAUUUCUCUUGUGUUUAUUUGAGAAAAUUUCAUCCCACUUACCGGGACAAUUUUGUUGUUUUGACAUUAUUUUGACAGUUGUUAAAAAUAGCUUGCGGCAGUAUCUUUGAACUUUCAUCCCGGCAACCGGGCUAGCCUG